GGUGAUGUUGACAGACAGACAGAGAGGCGGAUGCAACCUACCUCUUGGGCAGGGAGCUGCGGUCUGAGGCCCCUGCCCAGCUGGAAACCACAGGGAGGGGAAGGGAGGGGAGGGGAGAAGAGGAGAAGAGAGGAGAGGAGCCGUCAUGGGGCCUUGGAGUCGAGUCAGGGUUGCCAAAUGCCAGAUGCUGGUCACUUGCUUCUUUAUCUUGCUGCUGGGCCUCUCUGUGGCCACCAUGGUGACUCUCACCUACUUCGGGGCCCACUUUGCUGUCAUUCGCCGAGCGUCCCUGGAGAAGAACCCGUACCAGGCUGUGCACCAAUGGGCCUUCUCUGCGGGGUUGAGCCUGGUGGGCCUCCUGACUCUGGGAGCCGUGCUGAGCGCUGCAGGCACCGUGAGGGAGGCCCAGGGCCUCAUGGCGGGGGGCUUCCUGUGCUUCUCCCUGGCGUUCUGUGCACAGGUGCAGGUGAUGUUCUGGAGACUCCACAGCCCCACCCAGCCUCCACCCCCUCCACAGGACAUCACCCAUCCUUCCAUCCUGGCUGCUGACCUGCCUGGAGGAGGAGCUGGCCUAGCUGACCCUGGGCAGGGGCCAAGGGUGUCCCCGUGGAAAGGCCAGCAGCUUGGAGAGGAAGGAGGCCUCCCUGGCCCAGCAGAGAAUGAGAGCUCGGUGGAGGAUGCCAUGCUGGACACCUACGACCUGGUAUAUGAGCAGGCGAUGAAAGGCACGUCCCACGUCCGGCGGCAGGAGCUGGCGGCCAUCCAGGACACAUUUCUGUGCUGUGGGAAGAGGUCUCCUUUCAGCCGUCUGGGGAGCACAGAGGCUGACCUGUGUCAGGGACAGGAGGCGGCAAGAGAGGACUGCCUUCAGGGCAUCCGGAGCAUCCUGAGGAUACACCAGCAGGUCACCUCCAGCCUGACCAGCAUCGGCCUGGCCCUCACGGUGUCCGCCUUGCUCCUCAGCUCCUUCCUGUGGUUUGCCGUCCGCUCUGGCUGCAGCUUGGAUCGCAAGGGCAGAUACACCCUGGCCCCACGGUAGGGCCCCCUGCUGCCCCCACCCUCUCUGGAAGGUCCUUCAGCUCCGCUCGAGACGCAUCUGCUCUGCCAGCCCCCUGCUGCCCCCACCCUCUCUGGAAGGUCCUCCAGCUCCACUCGAGACACAUCUGCUCUGCCAGCCACCGGGAGGGAGCCCCGGACCAAGCCGCAGGCUGAUGCUGUAGAGGAAACGCUUUGGGGGUGACUGAGUGCCAGGGUGGGGUGGGAGACCUGGAGAGUUUCCAGACCCGAUGCACUGCACCCCAUAGUCCACAUGGGGACCCCCCUUUGCUUGCACCAGGCCUUGCCAAGACCUGGAGAUGGAUGCUUCUGGGCCCCCAGAUUACAGCCCCAGGCCAGGAUCUCUGUGCUUGAAUACCCCAGAGCUCCUCAUGCUUAGGCGACAGGGAGGGUCCAACCCGCAGCCAGGCAGCUCUUCCUGCCCCCACGGAGCUGGCCUGUCUCUGCCUGCCAUGCCCAUUAACCCACCCACUUGCUCUUCUUGGCCAUCCAAGCCCCCAUCCCUGGGUCCUCUGCAUUCUACAACAGCCUCACAGUCCCCCUAGAACAUUCCACAGCAGCUCCAUAAUCCCUCUAGAACAUUCUGCAACCCUGUGAUCCCCUCUAGAACAUUCCACAGUAGCCUCACAGGUCCCCUGUAGAACAUUCCCCCACAGCCCCAUGAUCCCCUCUAGAACAUUCCACAAUAGCCCCACAGGUCCCCUGUAGAACAUUCCACCACAGCCCCAUGAUCCCCUCUAGAACAUUCCACAGUAGCCUCCCAGGUACCCUGUAGAACAUUCCACCACAGCCUCAUGAUCCCCUUGCUCCUCAGAGCAUGUGGCCACCAGCCCCAGGAGCCCAGCCUCUUCAGACGCUCCCAGGGUGGACCCGCACGUUGUCUCUGCUCCGAAGCAGAUGCUAUUGGUCCAAGAAGAUACUCAGGUAGUCUUCGGUGGCUGCAGGACAACGAUGCUGCACCUGGGCCCCUCUCCCGCCACCUGCCUGCCCACAGAGCUCUCCAGGGCAGAAGUCCCGGUGGGCUCAGCGGGUGCCCUGCGAGGGGUCUCUCGGGCUGACGUCAGGCCUUGGUGGGCUGCACUGUCAUCUGGAGGCUCCAGAGAAGCGUCUGCCUCCAGGACCAUUCAGGCUGUUGACAAGUCAGCUCCUCAUGGCUGUAGGACUGAGGUUCCCACGUCCUUGUCCCUGCUCCCAUGGCCCCUCCACCUUCAAACCAGCAAUGGUGCAUUCAGCAAAUUGUGGUCAAAUAUACAUCACAUAAAAUGUACCAUCGUAACCAUU
Molecule: non-coding RNA, 2337 nt
Organism: Chlorocebus sabaeus (green monkey)
Lineage: Eukaryota; Metazoa; Chordata; Mammalia; Primates; Cercopithecidae
Source: RefSeq, a predicted model, not a curated record